RNAcentral lists this ribosomal RNA (404 nucleotides) under uncultured beta proteobacterium LV3I. RNAcentral's name for it is "bacterial SSU rRNA". It matches the Rfam family "Bacterial small subunit ribosomal RNA", at positions 125 to 526 of the family's 1533-position model. Lineage: Bacteria; Pseudomonadati; Pseudomonadota; Betaproteobacteria; Nitrosomonadales; Nitrosomonadaceae. The record is from RNAcentral.
CGUGUCCUUAAGUGGGGAAUAACGCAUCGAAAGAUGUGCUAAUACCGCAUAUCUCUGAGGAGAAAAGCAGGGGAUCGCAAGACCUUGCGCUAAAGGAGCGGCCGAUGUCUGAUUAGCUAGUUGGUGGGGUAAAGGCUUACCAAGGCAACGAUCAGUAGUUGGUCUGAGAGGACGGCCAACCACACUGGGACUGAGACACGGCCCAGACUCCUACGGGAGGCAGCAGUGGGGAAUUUUGGACAAUGGGCGAAAGCCUGAUCCAGCCAUGCCGCGUGAGUGAAGAAGGCCUUCGGGUUGUAAAGCUCUUUUAGUCGGAAAGAAAGAGUUGCAAUGAAUAAUUGUGAUUUAUGACGGUACCGACAGAAAAAGCACCGGCUAACUACUUCCAGCAGCCGCGGUAAUAC